This is a small nuclear RNA of Rattus norvegicus (Norway rat), 102 nucleotides long. The record is from Ensembl. Lineage: Eukaryota; Metazoa; Chordata; Mammalia; Rodentia; Muridae.
GUGCUCGGCAGCACAUAUACUAAAGUUGGAACGAUACAGAGAAGAUUAGCAUGGUCCCUGAACAAGGAUGACACGCAAAUUUGUGAAGCGUUCCAUAUUUUU